AUUAAACGCUGGCGGCAUGCCUUACACAUGCAAGUCGAACGGCAGCACGGGGGCAACCCUGGUGGCGAGUGGCGGACGGGUGAGUAAAGCAUCGGAACGUAUCCUGGAGUGGGGGAUAACGUAGCGAAAGUUACGCUAAUACCGCAUAUUCUGUGAGCAGGAAAGCAGGGGAUCGCAAGACCUUGCGCUCUGGGAGCGGCCGAUGUCGGAUUAGGUAGUUGGUGGGGUAAAGGCCCACCAAGCCAACGAUCUGUAGCUGGUCUGAGAGGACGACCAGCCACACUGGGACUGAGACACGGCCCAGACUCCUACGGGAGGCAGCAGUGGGGAAUUUUGGACAAUGGGCGCAAGCCUGAUCCAGCAAUGCCGCGUGCAGGAAGAAGGCCUUCGGGUUGUAAACUAGCUUUGUACGGAACGAAACGGUACUGGGCUAAUACGGCAGGCUAAUGACGGUACCGUAAGAAUAAGCACCGGCUAACUACGUGCCAGCAGCCGCGGUAA
Molecule: ribosomal RNA, 501 nt
Filed under: uncultured bacterium
Lineage: Bacteria
Description: bacterial SSU rRNA
Rfam family: Bacterial small subunit ribosomal RNA
Source: RNAcentral